Molecule: ribosomal RNA, 389 nt
Filed under: uncultured bacterium
Lineage: Bacteria
Description: bacterial SSU rRNA
Rfam family: Bacterial small subunit ribosomal RNA
Source: RNAcentral
GACGAACGCUGGCGGCGUGCUUAACACAUGCAAGUCGAGCGGUAAGGCCCUUUCGGGGGUACACGAGCGGCGAACGGGUGAGUAACACGUGGGUGACCUGCCCUCAGCUCUGGGAUAAGCCUGGGAAACCGGGUCUAAUACUGGAUAUGACUCCAUGACGCAUGUUGUGGGGUGGAAAGCCUUGUGCGGCUGAGGAUGGGCCCGCGGCCCAUCAGCUUGUUGGUGGGGUGANGGCCUACCAAGGCGACGACGGGUAGCCGGCCUGAGAGGGCGACCGGCCACACUGGGACUGAGACACGGCCCAGACUCCUACGGGAGGCAGCAGUGGGGAAUCUUGGGCAAUGGGCGCAAGCCUGACCCAGCAAUACCGCGUGAGGGAUGAAGGCCUU